AAUCAACGCUGGCGGCGUGCCUAACACGUGCAAGUCGAACGCGAAAGUCCCGCAAGGGAUGAGUAGAGUGGCAAACGGGUGAGUAACGCGUGGGUGACCUGCCUUCGAGCGGGGGAUAACGUCCCGAAAGGGACGCUAAUACCGCAUAACAUCCCGCUUUUCUAACAAGUGGAGAUCAAAGCUGGGGAUCGCAAGACCUAGCACUCGAAGAGGGGCCCGCGUCUGAUUAGCAGUUGGUGAGGUAACGGCUCACCAAGGCGACGAUCAGUAUCCGGCCUGAGAGGGCGGACGGACACACUGGGACUGAGACACGGCCCAGACUCCUACGGGAGGCAGCAGUGGGAAUAUUGCGCAAUGGGCGUAAGCCUGACGCAGCGACGCCGCGUGGGGGA
Molecule: ribosomal RNA, 392 nt
Filed under: uncultured bacterium
Lineage: Bacteria
Description: bacterial SSU rRNA
Rfam family: Bacterial small subunit ribosomal RNA
Source: RNAcentral